Molecule: ribosomal RNA, 434 nt
Filed under: uncultured soil bacterium
Lineage: Bacteria
Description: bacterial SSU rRNA
Rfam family: Bacterial small subunit ribosomal RNA
Source: RNAcentral
AGAUUGAACGCUGGCGGCAUGCCUAACACAUGCAAGUCGAACGGGAGUAGCAAUACUCUAGUGGCGGACGGGUGAGGAAUACGUAGGAAUUUGCCCUUAAGUGGGGGAUAACCCGGGGAAACCCGGAUUAAUACCGCAUGACCUCGAAAGAGCAAAGUGGGGGAUCGCAAGACCUCACGCUUUUGGAGAAGCCUACGUCGGAUUAGCUAGUUGGUGAGGUAAUGGCUCACCAAGGCGACGAUCCGUAACUGGUCUGAGAGGAUGAUCAGUCACACCGGAACUGAGACACGGUCCGGACUCCGUACGGGAGGCAGCAGUGGGGAAUAUUGGACAAGUGGGCGCAAGCCUGAUCCAGCAAUGCCGCGUGUGUGAAGAGGCUUCGGUUGUAAGCACUUAAGUUGGAAGAAAAAACUCGACUACGUAACACAGUGAUC